AAAGGAAUAGACGGGGGCCCGCACAAGCGGUGGAGCAUGUGGUUUAAUUCGAUGCAACGCGAAGAACCUUACCAUCCCUUGACAUCCUGCGAACUUUCUAGAGAUAGAUUGGUGCCUUCGGGAACGCAGUGACAGGUGCUGCAUGGCUGUCGUCAGCUCGUGUCGUGAGAUGUUGGGUUAAGUCCCGCAACGAGCGCAACCCUUAUCUUUAGUUGCUACCAUUCAGUUGAGAACUCUAAAGAGACUGCCGGUGAUAAACCGGAGGAAGGCGGGGACGACGUCAAGUCAUCAUGGCCCUUAUGGGAUGGGCUACACACGUGCUACAAUGGGAGGUACAAAGAGCGGCCAGCUGGCGACAGUGAGCGAAUCUCAUAAAACCUCUCGUAGUCCGGAUCGGAGUCUGCAACUCGACUCCGUGAAGUCGGAAUCGCUAGUAAUCGUGAAUCAGAAUGUCACGGUGAAUACGUUCCCGGGCCUUGUACACACCGCCCGU
RNAcentral lists this ribosomal RNA (493 nucleotides) under uncultured bacterium. Its description in RNAcentral is "bacterial SSU rRNA". It matches the Rfam family "Bacterial small subunit ribosomal RNA", at positions 903 to 1397 of the family's 1533-position model. The record is from RNAcentral.